UAGCGGCGGACGGGUGAGUAAUGCUUAGGAAUCUGCCUAUUAGUGGGGGACAACAUCUCGAAAGGGAUGCUAAUACCGCAUACGUCCUACGGGAGAAAGCAGGGGACCUUCGGGCCUUGCGCUAAUAGAUGAGCCUAAGUCGGAUUAGCUAGUUGGUGGGGUAAAGGCCUACCAAGGCGACGAUCUGUAGCGGGUCUGAGAGGAUGAUCCGCCACACUGGGACUGAGACACGGCCCAGACUCCUACGGGAGGCAGCAGUGGGGAAUAUUGGACAAUGGGGGGAACCCUGAUCCAGCCAUGCCGCGUGUGUGAAGAAGGCCUUUUGGUUGUAAAGCACUUUAAGCGAGGAGGAGGCUACCGAGAUUAAUACUCUUGGAUAGUGGACGUUACUCGCAGAAUAAGCACCGGCUAACUCUGUGCCAGCAGCCGCGGUAAUACAGAGGGUGCAAGCGUUAAUCGGAUUUACUGGGCGUAAAGCGCGCGUAGGUGGCCAAUUAAGUCAAAUGUGAAAUCCCCGAGCUUAACUUGGGAAUUGCAUUCGAUACUGGUUGGCUAGAGUAUGGGAGAGGAUGGUAGAAUUCCAGGUGUAGCGGUGAAAUGCGUAGAGAU
Molecule: ribosomal RNA, 609 nt
Filed under: Acinetobacter lwoffii
Lineage: Bacteria; Pseudomonadati; Pseudomonadota; Gammaproteobacteria; Moraxellales; Moraxellaceae
Description: bacterial SSU rRNA
Rfam family: Bacterial small subunit ribosomal RNA
Source: RNAcentral